AACGCAGGCCGCGCUUUGCAUAUCACUUGUGUUAUCGCAAGGCAUCUACGUAUGAGUGUCAGCCUAAUAUACUUUUGGUUUAAUGGUAAUUUAUUUACUAUUAAAUACACUAUGCGAGUAUUUUUUUAAAAUACACGCGUUUAACAAUAAAGUAUGUCUGGCCUCAUAUGUGGAAGGUUACCCGCUGGAUUUAA
RNAcentral lists this unclassified non-coding RNA (194 nucleotides) under Metazoa environmental sample. RNAcentral describes it as "sequence contains 5.8S rRNA gene, ITS2, 28S rRNA gene". Lineage: Eukaryota; Metazoa. The record is from RNAcentral.